Molecule: ribosomal RNA, 253 nt
Filed under: uncultured bacterium
Lineage: Bacteria
Description: partial 16S ribosomal RNA
Rfam family: Bacterial small subunit ribosomal RNA
Source: RNAcentral
UACGUAGGGCGCAAGCGUUAUCCGGAAUUAUUGGGCGUAAAGAGCUCGUAGGCGGCUCGUCGCGUCGACCGUGAAAACCCGCGGCUUAACUGCGGGCUUGCGGUUGAUACGGGCGGGCUAGAGUUCGGUAGGGGAGACUGGAAUUCCUGGUGUAGCGGUGAAAUGCGCAGAUAUCAGGAGGAACAUCGGUGGCGAAGGCGGGUCUCUGGGCCGAUACUGACGCUGAGGAGCGAAAGCGUGGGGAGCGAACAGG